GGGAGUGGAUGUGGCCCGGUGGCUUCCGCGGUCUUCAAAACCGUUGUGGGGUGGUAGCCCCAUCCCAGGUGGGUUCGACUCCCAUGCACUCCCGCCA
Molecule: transfer RNA, 97 nt
Filed under: Chloroflexota bacterium
Lineage: Bacteria; Bacillati; Chloroflexota
Description: Chloroflexi bacterium (marine sediment metagenome) tRNA-Sec
Rfam family: Selenocysteine transfer RNA
Source: RNAcentral